RNAcentral lists this ribosomal RNA (254 nucleotides) under uncultured bacterium. RNAcentral's name for it is "partial 16S ribosomal RNA". It matches the Rfam family "Bacterial small subunit ribosomal RNA", at positions 524 to 776 of the family's 1533-position model. The record is from RNAcentral.
UACGUAGGGCGCAAGCGUUGUCCGGAAUUAUUGGGCGUAAAGGGCGCGUAGGCGGCCAGCACAAGUCAGUUGUGAAAUCUCCGAGCUUAACUCGGAAAGGUCAACUGAUACUGUGCGGCUAGAGUGCGGAAGGGGCAACUGGAAUUCUUGGUGUAGCGGCGAAAUGCGUAGAUAUCAAGAGGAACACCUGCGGCGAAGGCGGGUUGCUGGGCCGACACUGACGCUGAGGCGCGAAAGCCAGGGGAGCGAACGGG